Molecule: ribosomal RNA, 254 nt
Filed under: uncultured bacterium
Lineage: Bacteria
Description: partial 16S ribosomal RNA
Rfam family: Bacterial small subunit ribosomal RNA
Source: RNAcentral
UACGGAGGGCGCGAGCGUUGUCCGGAAUCAUUGGGCGUAAAGAGCUCGUAGGCGGUUCCGUAAGUCAGAUGUGAAAACUCAGGGCUCAACCCGGAGACGCCAUCUGAUACUGCGGUGACUGGAGUCUGGUAGGGGAACACGGAAUUCCUGGUGUAGCGGUGAAAUGCGCAGAUAUCAGGAGGAACACCGAUGGCGAAGGCAGUGUUCUGGGCCAGUACUGACGCUGAGGAGCGAAAGCGUGGGGAGCAAACAGG